CUUCAUGGUAUGAAUAUGAUUUGAAUAAAUACAACUGAUUUGAAGUUGGAAUUAUUAUUUGUCUAAGAUGACUGGGCAUUUACAAAUUGAAAUAGCUACUCUUCAUCAAGAAAAUACAUGAAUAUUUUUCCCAAUUCACCUGGAUUUUAUUGUAGGUCUUUGUACGUGAAAUAGCUGUAUUUAACGUCCGCCUUCACCGAAGUGGUAUUGCAGAAAAUUAACAAAUUAGGAUUCCCUUUUAAAGGAAUUAGACUACACUAUCGCUGGAUUGUAUUAUAUUCAAAAUGGCGCCCAGAACACAAAACAAACAUUGCAAUUCAGGGCGGACUGGUGUCGAGGUUGUAUCUUAAGAAUGAUUUUUUGAAUAUUUAAUCAAACAGAAACACAAUUAUGCACAUGCAGUUAUGAUAUAAUAUUAAAUUAGCUUACCUCAAAUACCUCGAAAUAUACUGUUUGGUCAGUUUGUCCGCCCGCCAUAUUUCUAUUAGUCACACAUCCUUCGGCCAAUUAAAAUGGAGGUAUAUUUUGUUCUAACCGAAACGAAAAAUUUGCGUUAUAAAUACAUUGUAUUAAAAAAUACCAAAAUCACAAACCUGAUAUUCUUAUUUUCUGAACAAACUUUUUUCACAACAAUAUCACUUUUUUCGAUACUAAUGCUUAAUAAUACAGUUAACAUUUGCAGUACCACAGGGUUUAAUACCGCAAAAUUACUUUAAUAAAUAUUUCUUUCUUUGUUUUAAGAGUAAUUCAUUUUAAUUGGUCAUUUACAGGUAAGAAUAAAUUUCCAAUUUCGAUUAAUGAACCAAUUAAAUUAAAUAAAAAGAUUAACUCGACUAUUUCCACGCCCAUUCAAACAAUUUUUUAAAACGUAGAUAUAACACAAUUGUUAUUGUCUUUGAUGUGUCAAGUUUAUUGGGGCGAUAUCAAUCAGACACUUCCAAAUGCAGACAUUGUAAUAACCUGUCUCUGUAUAUUGUCUGAGACAAGAUGUGAAAAUAUACAAAGAGUAGAAUCAGAAUAAUCUUUUAUUAUAUCUAAUUAAAUAAAUAGUUUAUAUUUAGAUAAUAAUUGACUAAAACUUUGAUCUCUUAUAUCAGUAUACUGUUAUAAAAUACGUUGUUUUAAAAGAGAUAUUAAAUGCAUCGCACGAUACAUACAUUGCGAUUUCUACUUAAUGUUUGUAAUAAUUAAUAUAUCCUUUUAGAUAAUUAGAAAUAUUAAAAAAUAAAUCAAGUGAAUUACUCGACAUUCAAAUUCAGGAAGAGUGGUUUUACAUAUAGGCUAGUGAUAAAGGAACAUAAUAAAUGUUAUCUUUAAUGUCGACGUAAUUAAUUAUAUGGAAAAAAACACAUAAGAUUUUAUAAAUGUACACAAGUUUGUGUUAAGACAUUGAAAAAAACACAAACUUGUGUCAUUGCAAUGCAAUACAACACAAACAUGUGUUAAAUAUUUUUAACACAAGUUCUUGUGUUGAGAUCCAACACAAGGGUUUUUUCAGUGUAGGUAAAAAUUAUUUCCUAUUUAGUGUAAAUGGGUAUUAAAAUGACUAAAAAAAUGCAGCAUUCUCUCCGAAGCAGUAACGUCUUAUAUAAACAAUGCACGCGCCAUUCAGCCAAUGAUUGACGCCGGUCCUGUGACAGCACGUGUUAAGGCAGUCAUCUUCGGACAGAGAUAUAUCACUAGACUCGUAAUUCUCUGUGAAACAGAUUGGUGCGGAAUGUCUGGGACCGUUGUCAAUAUUUGACGAAAUGUUUCAUUGCCCAUGCGUAAUCGGGAGUUUCGUUUGUGAUGUGGUUAAUUAUCCAGUAUCUUUGGCCAAGUCAAGUAAGAGUUGCACCCCUUCCCGCACCAAAAAGUUGCACCCCUUCAUUAUUAUAAACCAAGAUGAAUCGUGACGACGAUUUAGGAUUAAUAGAUAUGGCCCAUGAAGAGAGAAAUUUUAGAAUAUAAAAAAAUUAAGAGUGUUGGAUAUUGAACUGGCAAUGCAAUCCAGUGGAUUUUCUGAAAUGACAUUCUUAAUUAAUUUCAUGGGCGUCGACAUUUUGUUUUAGGACUAGUUACCUCCCUUAGACUUUGUUUAUGAUAAUCUAAAGGACCGGAUAAUCUAGCCAAUAACCUAUUAUUCUCAAAUGCUGACAACGCAUACAGACUAAUAUACUAUUUAAUAGUCAAGUGGGUUUAAUAUUUGUUUUCAAUAUCCAUUAAUUUAUUCUUGAUGAACUAGGCCUAUAUAUUGGUGUUUUUGGAAUAGCACUAAGGAUAUUGGUGCAAAUGUGGUAAUGCAAAUACUUGUGGUAAAUUCAGUGUUUACUAAUACAUAGAUUUCGGCACUUGGAUCAAUGUUCUGUCAUACCGCGAAGCUGCAAUAUCCGAAACCCCAUAUUUAAUGGGCGUCCAUUUUGAUUGAAAAAUGAGGUCAGGUCGCGCACCGCUCUUAUUCGAAUGAGAACAUCAAAAACUACCCGUGAUAUGUGUUAAUGAUAUAUGUCAAAAGGUGAAUGAUUCUAUGAAAAUAUCGAACUUUGACUAAUAGAUAUAAUGGAAGCCAUGUCACGAUCUACAAAACAGUUUAGCCGCCUUUUUUUGUUAAACAUACAUUAUAAAAGAUUUAGAUUUAGAUAAAGAGCUGGCCAUUUUAGUUAUAAUAGUUCAAAAAUAGAUAAUGAAAAAAUGAAUCAUAUUGAAAAUUUCAGUCAAAUUACUAUUUAUGGGCGCACUUAUGAGUCUUUGAAAAAUUUUAAAUUAUAUUUUUAAAUGGCGAUUGUGUUUUAAUCCGUUAAAAUCACUGCCAUCCGAUGUUCUAGAAAGUUGAUUAUGGGUCGGUCGUUUGAAUAAUUUGUAUAACAUUUAAAACCAAAAGAAAGCCCGCAAUAGGCAAAUUUAGCUCUUAAAUAAUGCAUCUUUAAAUAUGUAAACCAUUUUGUAUUUGAAGUGUUCUCUGAAAUCUGGGACAUAAUUUAAUAAAUAUAUCAUAAUAUCGAGUAUUAAAAAGGCCAUAUUAUUGUAUACUUACAUCGAUACCAACUGUAAUAUAUACAUUUCAGGUCUUUCGGAAUGGCUGCUGUUUAUACAAAAGAGAUCACAUGACUCAUACUUUAAUAUAUAUAUAUAUAAUUCAUUUGUUUUCUUCAAGUUACAGAUUUCUUAAAUAUUUGUAUAUGUCUAUGUUUAUUGUUAUUAUUAUUUACCGGUUUUGCCCUUAGAAAUAUGAAUGUGUCUUAAAUCAAAAUAAAAGGUAAGUAAGAAUAUUUGAUUUUUUAUAUACGUAAGACUGAAGUCAUGUGGGAAAAUCAACAGGUAAGUAAACAUAAGUAAACAGGUAGGUGGUAUUUUCUACUUAAUCUUUUAGAAUGUAUGAUAUACUUUUACGGUAAGCACCCUUUUAAUUUAUAUAUAUAUAUAUUAAAUCAGUGCAAUCUGAAUUGAAGACAGAUCGUAUUUAGUUUGGGGAUUUUUUUAUCAUUUUUUGUUGUUGGUUUUUUUUUCUUGUUUUCGCUACAACACCCGCCUUCAUGGGAUGGAGGCCAUCGAUAGUAAAAAAAAAAUAAGAAACGAAAUAUAGAUCAUCCACAAACUGAAGGGUACGGUCGGUUGCGCAUACACUUGAGUUCUAUUCAUGAAGUGGAGUUUCUCCAACAGACAUUUAACUCACAUUCAAAUAUCAUUAUAUUUACCGAUAUCUCUUUGUUUGUUGUUUUUUUUCUUUCUAGGCGGAUCGUAUCUUGUAGAAAUUGUGGUUACUCGUUGUUCCUAGAUGGUAUAUUUAUAAUUUUAACUCUCCGUGAAGACCAUGGACUGAUGGAUUCCUGCACAUAUUAACUAAUAACAAAGUGAGCGGUGCUGGUUCGCCACCUAAUGGAAAAUCAUCAAGGUUUUUGAAAGGAGAAGUCUAAGAUAUAUUUUUGUAGGGAAGUCUAUUGACACCUUUAUAGACCAUAAACUAAAUAAAGAGUCUAUGCUGAUACUGAACCGAACAGAAAAUCAUCCAAAGUAUUGAAAGGAACUGUCCAGAUAUUUUUUUGAACGAAAGUCUUUAUAGACCAUAGACUAAAUAAAGGGUCGGUACUGAUGCUCAACCCAAUGAAAAUCACCCAAAAUAUUUAAAGGAACUGUCUAGAUAUAUUUUAAUGUAAAAGCCUAUUAAAGGCUGUUUCAUGUGUGCUUGGUGAUCUGGGAUUUUUUUAGACUGUGUCUGGGAAAACAUGUCUCCAUUUGAUAGACUAAAAUCCAUGUAAAAGCCUAUUAAAGGCUGUUUCAUGUGUGCUUGGUGAUCUGGUUUUUUUUUAGACUGUGUCUGGGAAAACAUGUCUCCAUUUGAUAGACUAAAAUCUAUCUCAAACUUAGGCGCCUGUCUACCGCUAUGACGUAGAUGGGUCGCUGCGUGCAGUAUGACUAAAAUCAUUAGGAUAAUCUGAUUAAAAUCAGAUCUAUAUUUCGUUUCGUUUUUUUUUUUUGUUUUUUUUUUACUUUGGAAACGAAAGGGUCUUUGUUUUAAUCAGAUUGAUCAUAAGGGUAAUACCAAAGAAAACAAAGAGUACUAUAUUGUAUAAAAGUAUAAUUUUAUAAGAAAUAUCUAUUAUAUACACUGCAGAAUAAUUAAAGUAUAUUUGUGAACAGUUUACGUACUACAUACAUAUAUUAUACAUUUGUGAAAUGAGUGUUAAAUUUUGAGAAAAAAUCUAUCUUGAGUUUUUAUUUUAGUCUUGUGUAUAAAAAUGAAAGUUCGAAAAUUUUGUCACGAGGAUAUUGUUAUAAGCUUAAGAUCACUAAUGAGUAUUUUAUUAAUAAAACACAAAUCUGAUAAAAAUACAGCUCUUGUAGCACGUUAUUUUUUUAUUUUUGGAAUUCUUGCUUAUCACAUUUAAUAUAAUUGACUACCAUUAUUUAUUAUUGGCAUAGAUUGACAUCCAUAAUCUAUCCAUAUAAUUUUUUCUGUCCAAAUUAUUAUCCAUGGUAUGAAUUGUUGAUUGCUAACACCCACUCCACCCCACAUCCCCAGGUCAUAUCCUGCCUAUACUGCAAGAAAAAUUGGCCAGACCAUGAAUUAUAUUAAAGUCCCAAUACAGGCUUAGACACAGCUCAGAAUAUGUCAAAAUCCUGCCAGAUAUUGUUGGUUUUAUUUGUUAACUGUAAUCAUCAGCCAAUAAUAAUUACUGGAAGCAACACCAUACCCCCCACCCCCCAUUGUGUGUUCAUGUACAAGGAUUUCAACUGUGUGAACUUAUCAAUGAAAGUCUAAUUUUAAUAAUGGUCUAUGAGAAAUGGGGUUUAACGUCCACUCGACACAAACUAGGUCAUUUCGGGACUAACAUAUUUUCAAUUCUAUUUCAGUAAUUCUCAUGCGCUUAUGGGUCUUUAGAAGUGGUAGGAAACCCGAGGACCAAGAGAAAAUCAAUGAGGUUGGACAGACGACUUUACUCUUUGUCACGUAUAAGCGGGGAAUCGAAACCAGGCUACCUGACUCAAUGACAAACCUUCCGAUACAACGCGCACGCGUUAAACCCCCCCCCCCCCCCGAUUGUAUAUAAGAACAAAUUUAGGUGGACAGCAGUAGAGAUCUUCCUGAAACUCCAACUUGAAUAACAUUACGUAUAUGUGAGCAGGAUUGAAUAAUUCUAAUCAGAAAGAUUAAAGAGUGGACUAUGUAUUAAAGACUUUCUUAACAAGCAUUAAAGAACUUCGAUCAUUGUUAUCGUUGGCAUAUUCA
Long non-coding RNA from Patella vulgata (common limpet), 5707 nucleotides. RefSeq lists it as uncharacterized. The record is from RefSeq and is a predicted model, not a curated record. The transcript has 2 exons. NCBI's taxonomy places the organism in Eukaryota, Metazoa, Mollusca, Gastropoda, Patellidae.